This 75-nucleotide antisense RNA is filed under the name Streptomyces katrae. Its description in RNAcentral is "ASpks sRNA". It matches the Rfam family "ASpks TB sRNA". Lineage: Bacteria; Bacillati; Actinomycetota; Actinomycetes; Kitasatosporales; Streptomycetaceae. The record is from RNAcentral.
CUUGAUGGAGCCCAGCCACAGCGGCUCGUCGGUGUCCCGGUCCUGGCCAUAGGUGGCGAGGAGCGCCUGGGCCUC